ACAAUGGUCGGUACAAAGGGUUGCUACACAGCGAUGUGAUGCUAAUCUCAAAAAGCCGAUCGUAGUCCGGAUUGGAGUCUGCAACUCGACUCCAUGAAGUCGGAAUCGCUAGUAAUCGCGGAUCAGAAUGCCGCGGUGAAUACGUUCCCGGGCCUUGUACACACCGCCCGUCACACCAUGGGAGUUUGUUGCACCAGAAGUAGCUAGCCUAACUGCAAAGAGGGCGGUUACCACGGUGUGGCCGAUGACUGGGGUGAAGUCGUAACAAGGUAGCCGUAGGGGAACCUGCGGCUGGAUCACCUCCUUA
Molecule: ribosomal RNA, 307 nt
Filed under: Acinetobacter baumannii
Lineage: Bacteria; Pseudomonadati; Pseudomonadota; Gammaproteobacteria; Moraxellales; Moraxellaceae
Description: partial 16S ribosomal RNA
Rfam family: Bacterial small subunit ribosomal RNA
Source: RNAcentral